UACGGGGGGAGCAAGCGUUGUUCGGAUUUACUGGGCGUAAAAGGCGCGUAGGCGGCCACCGCAAGUCAAUUGUGAAAUCUCCGGGCUUAACUCGGAAAGGUCAACUGAUACUGCGGGGCUAGAGUGCGGAAGGGGCAACUGGAAUUCUCGGUGUAGCGGUGAAAUGCGUAGAUAUCGAGAGGAACACCUGCGGCGCAGGCGGGUUGCUGGGCCGACACUGACGCUGAUGCGCGAAAGCCAGGGGAGCG
Molecule: ribosomal RNA, 248 nt
Filed under: uncultured bacterium
Lineage: Bacteria
Description: partial 16S ribosomal RNA
Rfam family: Bacterial small subunit ribosomal RNA
Source: RNAcentral